UUCAGUUAGGAUUUCAUCAUGUUCUUGGAGGAUUACCUGAGUCUGUUCUGAAGGAGAAAGCUCUCGGUUUGUUUCUCCAUACUUUGGGCUUCAAGCCCAAAUUUUCCAUUUCAUGCAUUUCACUGCCUACCUACUGCCAAAGACUCCUCAGGUUACAUAUGUAACAUGGGUUUGGAGUGGAAGGCAAACCAGGAGGCAUCCUAUGAGGAAACAUCUGAUACUCGUGUGUCAUGGUUAUACCUCUGAAGGCACAAAAUAUUCUUCAGGAGACAAGAUCAAAGGUGAACUCCUCCAGAGAGUUUCAGCACAUGCUUACUCCUACGCAUGAGCAUGCGAAUCUGUCUUAGCUCCAGCCUAUCACUGCCUUACCAGGCAUUUUUCUAAGGUCAUGGAUUUGAAGAUAAAAGGUACCUAAGAAGACACUGAUCCAACCUACUCAUUUACAGAUGUGAAAACUGAGGUCGAGGAAGGAAUGAUGGAUUACAUCUCCUCAAAGCUAAUGGCUGCUGCUGCUAUCUUACAGAAAAGUCAACAGAGGCAUGCAUAUAGAUUUGGGAAAUGGACUUGUGUACACUAC
This is a non-coding RNA of Phascolarctos cinereus (koala), 577 nucleotides long. The record is from RefSeq and is a predicted model, not a curated record. Lineage: Eukaryota; Metazoa; Chordata; Mammalia; Diprotodontia; Phascolarctidae.